This 1342-nucleotide long non-coding RNA is filed under the name Anser cygnoides (Swan goose). RNAcentral describes it as "lncRNA (ENSACDG00005013499.1)". The record is from RNAcentral. Lineage: Eukaryota; Metazoa; Chordata; Aves; Anseriformes; Anatidae.
AUGUCUUACACUUACUUGCUUCUAUAUAUGGGACACCAGUCCUUUUUAGUUUUGAAAAAUCAGGGAGGUUGGACUUGUUUUACAUUUUUUCCAUCUGUCAUUGGUUGUGUUUUGAGUGUUACUUCCAGCUUCUGUGCUUUCUUUGCUGAGGACUUGACUUUUGUUAAUAUUAAGUGGAGAUGUAUCUGGAGCACAAAAAUUGGACCCAUCUCUGGAUUCAAACUUCUCCAAAAUUCAGGCACAGCACAAGAUAGAGUUUGUUCAGGCUCAUGUCUGCAUGGAAAAUAUUCAAUCUUGUCUCAAGUCUCAGGUUGUGUAAUAAGUCACAGCAAGGGCAUCUAAUCAUCUCUAGAACGUGACAACAUUUGGUUCAGAUUCCCUUAUCAGCAUCACCUUUCCUUCUGCCUCUGCCUCAUCCUUAAAGAAGACCAGGCGGUGGGCCUUGGAGAUCAGUCACACGUCGACCGCUUCUUCAAACACUUCACGUGGGAAACCGUUCAGAGGCAUGAUUGCUGAGCUGCAGACCUGGAAAAUAACUGUCAUCAAGACCUUUACAUCUGUCAAAGGAAUUUCAGCCCACUGACACCGCUUUGCCCCUACAUUUUUUUUUUAAACUUCAGCAAGACCUUGGAAUUUUAUGACUUAAAAUUGCUACUGUGGUGCAUUAUUUUCUGAGGAGUUCUAUUUCACACAAAUGUUUUAGCCAAGAAUUUGUUACACACCUUGAAAAUGAAAAAGAUAAUUAUUAUAUUGUGUAGGGUAAUUAAGACGAAGCCGUCUGCUUUAUUUCCUUUGUUCCUGUUGAUUUAUGGAAAAACCCACCUUCCUCUCCAGCACAGCUGCAUGCCAACCAAGGAUGGUACAAAUCUGAAAACAGCCUGGAACUGGAGUAGGAACUGAGUUUGGCAGCACUGCAGGCUGUCUUGCACUGACAAGUUCUGCUAAAUAAUAACACUCAGGUAGAUUAUUAAAAGUUUUGUUGAAGAAUCUUGACCUGAUCAUGGCUGGAUGUGGCCCACUGCAGAAAUUCUAAAUUCUGCAGAAUAUAUCUGCAUUAAAAGAUACAGAACCUGUAUUAUACUGACCACUAUUGCGUCUCUUCUUGUUAAACCUUGCAAGAGGCCAACUGAAUUCCUAUCUGAGUGUUUUCACAUGCUAUGUAGUUAAAAUGUAAUGCCAUUUAGAGCUUUACAGAAUACUGUUUUAGUCAUUUGGGAAUUUGUGUGCAGGAAUUUUUAGUUCUUAAGCUGUGCAUGUGUAUAAGCAUGUUUUGUGAAUCUUACAUAAAUAGUUUAAAAGCCCCUUUUUGAGAGUUGUGUUUAUAUAAUAUAGAACUUUUGGU